Molecule: ribosomal RNA, 253 nt
Filed under: uncultured bacterium
Lineage: Bacteria
Also listed under: 2 other names
Description: partial 16S ribosomal RNA
Rfam family: Archaeal small subunit ribosomal RNA
Source: RNAcentral
AACCAGCACCUCGAGUGGUCAGGAGGUUUAUUGGGCCUAAAGCAUCCGUAGCCGGUUGCAUAAGUUUUCGGUUAAAUCUAUGCGCUCAACGUAUAGGCCGCCGAAAAUACUGUGCAGCUAGGGAGUGGGAGAGGUACACGGUACUCAAUAGGAAGGGGUAAAAUCCUUUGAUCUAUUGAUGACCACCUGUGGCGAAGGCGGUGUACCAGAACACGUUCGACGGUGAGGGAUGAAAGCUGGGGGAGCAAACCGG